Xiphophorus couchianus (Monterrey platyfish) is the source of this 1822-nucleotide long non-coding RNA. RefSeq lists it as uncharacterized. NCBI's taxonomy places the organism in Eukaryota, Metazoa, Chordata, Actinopteri, Cyprinodontiformes, Poeciliidae. The transcript is spliced from 2 exons. The record is from RefSeq and is a predicted model, not a curated record.
ACAGAUGGAAGGAGAAACAAGAACAAAAACAAGAAACAAGAGAGCAGAUUAAGGUAGUGGCACCUCGGAGCAUACAUAUACAUAGUGGCGGAUAAGUAACUUAACACAGCCAACUGAAACAACAAACAUGUCAGAAAUUGUGCAAGACAAGACAAAAGCAUGCAGCACACACUUUAAACUAAACUCUACAACUCCACACAAGACAAAUGAACAAUGCUAAUUUCACAUUCAUGAUUGGGGCUCUCAGUUUAGGGAGGUGAAACGUGUUCUGGUAGCUGCAUGUCUCAACCCAACAUAUAAAGUCUUUAACAUUGUCACGACCACAAACCUUAAUGUGUUUGAUUGUGUUUUAAGGGAUAAAUCAACACAACGCUGAGAAUAACUGUGAAGUUGGAGGAAAAGAAGACACCGUUUUGAGAAUAGCGUCCCUCAGGAUGGUGGUGCCACCGUCGUGUAUUAACUCAUUAACUCCUAACAGAAUGAACCACUUUUUUUUUUUUUAAGUUUUAGUCUUAAACAUCUUACUUUGCAUGACUACUCUCCGAGGCACUGUUUGUCAUACAACCAGUGAAAGCGGCACAGCUUUAUAUUUUUUUUUUUACAAUUCCGUUCUGCAGAGACGUUUCAAGUUGUUACAUAAACAAACUCUGUGAAUGGGAAUUGAAUUUUGGUUGCAUAGUAACCCUCAUUGGUGCUGUUUGGGGAAAAUAUGUGUCAUAUGCAGAGAUUACUUGUGCUUUUCACUGUUCUGCCGUGCAGAACUGCUACACUGUCAGCUCCCUGACACACCCAUCACAUGAACAGGCAAGUUAAAGGGCUGCUGUGAGAACAGGGGUUGCUUCAAUACAUCUGUACUCAAUAUUGGAAUAAUAUCGUUGAAUUAUUGCUGGGCCUAAGCUUUCUGGCAGAGAAAGGCCAUAGGGAUGUUGCACCAACUAGCCGAGUCCAUAACUCUGGCAACUCUGUUGGUUUGCUUGGGCUUAGGCGAGUCCCAGCUGUCCUUAUGACAACAUGCCUUAUUAAUUCAAGCCCUCACGGCCGAGAGGAAGAAACCAUCCUCCUUCUCUGCUGUAUCUCAUGAGGAGAGAUGCACCCUUUUAUAUGCCUUCAUUUAGUGUACAAUUAAGAUGUUUUUACUGUGCUUUGGAAAAAUGUCGUAUCCAGUGAACUUUGUCUCAUCUUCUCAUGUUACAAUCACAGACUUUAAUGUAGCGUGUUUUAUUGGGCUCUUAUAUGAAACACCCUCAUUUUGAUAUGGAAGGAGCAUGAUGCAUGGUUAUCAGAAGCUUUUAGAGAUACAAGUUUGAAAAAUGCCCUUCCCAACUUUGCUUAAAAUUGAAAUUUUAACUUUUUUUUUUUUCUAAAACAGCUUCCACUCCACAAUCACGUGCAAAGUUUGUGGCUACAAUGCGACCAAACAUGGAAGCGCUCAAUAAGUGUGAAUAAAAUCACUUUAUUAAGACUUAUAUCAACUCGCCUUUUAUCUUUUGAUCUCUCUUUAUGCUGACAAGAUGUUGUACAAGGAACAAAGCACAGAAAGGCUGGCCUGUCUCCAUACGACUACACAGCAACAGGAAAUAGACGCCGACCUUGACGCAGAUGAACAGCUGCACCAAAGUGACACUUCAGCGGCUUUAAAGGCAGACAGACUGAAGGAGAAGCUCGUCUCCAGACUGUUUUCACAGGAAAAUGCCUGGAGGCCAGGAUCCAUCCAGGAGAGUUCUCAGCAGCUCUUCCACCAAUUUUGGGAUAAUCUUUCAGCUGAUGGCUCUUUGCCAAUGUCGCCAUGUAGAGUUGAGAUAUUAAAAUUCAUCAUUUCCAA